This 459-nucleotide ribosomal RNA is filed under the name uncultured bacterium. RNAcentral describes it as "bacterial SSU rRNA". It matches the Rfam family "Bacterial small subunit ribosomal RNA", at positions 28 to 507 of the family's 1533-position model. The record is from RNAcentral.
GACGAACGCUGGCGGCGUGCCUAACACAUGCAAGUCGAACGGAGUUGAUCUUCGGAUUAACUUAGUGGCGAACGGGUGAGUAACGCGUGAGAAACCUGCCUUUCAGUGGGGGACAACAGUUGGAAACGACUGCUAAUACCGCAUAAUGUUAUCGGAUCGCAUGGUCUGAUAACCAAAGCUUUAUGUGCUGAAAGAUGGUCUCGCGUCUGAUUAGCUAGUUGGUGAGGUAACGGCUCACCAAGGCGACGAUCAGUAGCCGGCCUGAGAGGUUGAUCGGCCGCAUUGGGACUGAGACACGGCCCAGACUCCUACGGGAGGCAGCAGUGGGGAAUAUUGCGCAAUGGGGGGAAACCCUGACGCAGCAACGCCGCGUGAAGGAAGAAGGCCUUCGGGUUGUAAACUUCUUUGUCAGGGACGAUAGUGACGGUACCUGACGAAUAAGCCACGGCUAACUACGUG